RNAcentral lists this ribosomal RNA (468 nucleotides) under uncultured bacterium. Its description in RNAcentral is "partial 16S ribosomal RNA". It matches the Rfam family "Bacterial small subunit ribosomal RNA", at positions 28 to 507 of the family's 1533-position model. The record is from RNAcentral.
GACGAACGCUGGCGGCGUGCUUAACACAUGCAAGUCGAACGGAAAGGCCCUGCUUUUUUGUGGUGCUCGAGUGGCGAACGGGUGAGUAACACGUGAGUAACCUGCCCUUGACUUUGGGAUAACUUCAGGAAACUGGGGCUAAUACCGGAUAGGAGCUCCUGCUGCAUGGUGGGGGUUGGAAAGUUUCGGCGGUUGGGGAUGGACUCGCGGCUUAUCAGCUUGUUGGUGGGGUAGUGGCUUACCAAGGCUUUGACGGGUAGCCGGCCUGAGAGGGUGACCGGCCACAUUGGGACUGAGAUACGGCCCAGACUCCUACGGGAGGCAGCAGUGGGGAAUAUUGCACAAUGGGCGGAAGCCUGAUGCAGCAACGCCGCGUGCGGGAUGAAGGCCUUCGGGUUGUAAACCGCUUUCGCCUGUGACGAAGCGUGAGUGACGGUAAUGGGUAAAGAAGCACCGGCUAACUACGUG